This 105-nucleotide microRNA precursor is filed under the name Canis lupus familiaris (dog). RNAcentral describes it as "mir-8834 microRNA precursor family". It matches the Rfam family "mir-8834 microRNA precursor family". The record is from Rfam by way of RNAcentral. Lineage: Eukaryota; Metazoa; Chordata; Mammalia; Carnivora; Canidae. RNAcentral also lists the same sequence under 1 other name.
AGGAGGAACAAUCGCAGUGGCGGGGCCAGCUCUGCAGUCCUAGAGUCAGCCCCCGCAGUAAAUACAGAGCUCUCCGUCUGCAGGGCCUGGAGGCUCCGGGGCGGG